This is a non-coding RNA of Heterocephalus glaber (naked mole-rat), 936 nucleotides long. NCBI's taxonomy places the organism in Eukaryota, Metazoa, Chordata, Mammalia, Rodentia, Bathyergidae. The record is from RefSeq and is a predicted model, not a curated record.
CCAAGCCCAGGGAGGCCCUGAUGUUCCCAGCAACCACCCUGGGGAUCAGGUCAUCCAACCUGGGUACAGAGUUUGACCAAUGAAGGCAGGAGACAGGAGGAGGUGCUUCAACUGUGCCUGGUUCCCUAGAGAUGUCCUGCAGGACCAUCUGGAUCCUUUAUUUUUUGUGAACCUGAGGCUUACUAGGAGUUUGGAAAGUGCUCCACCAGAAAGCUACUCCAUAUCAAUUCCAAGGUCAUCCUUCUUCUGCCAACCUCUGCCUCCCUCGGCCCCGCCCUGCCCCAGUCACCUACAGCUGCACCUCAUCCAGUCCCAGAGCCAAUGAUGCCUAAGGAAGGAAAAUGAUUCAGAAGAAGGAACCUGGGAUAAGCUGUGUUGCUGCUGACAUGAGCCUGCAGUGAAUCCAGCACCUUCACACCUGCUAGGUCACGACCUUCUGUCUUCCCUGCCCCUAACGCUUCCUCUGGGGGACUGGGGCUGCAGUCCCCUCAGUCAGGAGCAGGGGGCUCACUUUCUAACUGAUAGAUUAUCUAGAACCCAAUACCCUGCCCAUCCUCUUUGUAAGAUCUGUCAAUAGCAACACCAUCCCCGCUCACUCACAGCUCAGAGGUCCUCAGUGUCACUGUACACAGGUACACCCGGAAGCUUGUGAAAAGUACUAUCCCCACCUGUGGAUUCAGAUUUGACCACUCAUCCCUUUUGACAUCCCAGCUGGCUUUGCAGCUGUGCCAACCAACCCAUGACAUCGACAGUCCUUCCACAUCCCUCCUAUCACAUUGAAAGCAUCCUUUAUUGCAGGACAUGUGGUCUCUGGCAACCUACCAAGACUGUAAAUUGUGCCAGACUUCCAAUUGCAGUACAGAUGAAGGCUUCUACAUAUAUUGGGCUGUUAACAAUUUUUAUAUAUGAUGGAAUGAAUAGUAGCCUUUAACAAAG